Molecule: ribosomal RNA, 253 nt
Filed under: uncultured bacterium
Lineage: Bacteria
Description: partial 16S ribosomal RNA
Rfam family: Bacterial small subunit ribosomal RNA
Source: RNAcentral
UACAGAGGUCCCAAGCGUUGUUCGGAUUCAUUGGGCGUAAAGGGUGCGUAGGUGGCGCCGUAAGUGGGGUGUGAAAUUUCGGAGCUUAACUCCGAAACUGCAUUCCAUACUGCGGUGCUUGAGGACUGGAGAGGAGACUGGAAUUCAUGGUGUAGCAGUGAAAUGCGUAGAGAUCAUGAGGAAGACCAGUGGCGAAGGCGGGUCUCUGGACCGAUACUGACGCUGAGGAGCGAAAGCGUGGGGAGCAAACAGG